RNAcentral lists this small RNA (28 nucleotides) under Bombyx mori (domestic silkworm). Its description in RNAcentral is "ovarian small RNA-38201". Lineage: Eukaryota; Metazoa; Arthropoda; Insecta; Lepidoptera; Bombycidae. The record is from RNAcentral.
UUGUUUCAUGGAGAGCAAUUGUUUGCAG